Molecule: ribosomal RNA, 252 nt
Filed under: uncultured bacterium
Lineage: Bacteria
Description: partial 16S ribosomal RNA
Rfam family: Bacterial small subunit ribosomal RNA
Source: RNAcentral
UACGUAGGUGGCAAGCGUUAUCCGGAAUGAUUGGGCGUAAAGGGUGCGCAGGCGGAACCAUAAGUCUGAAGUAAAAGCCAUCGGCUCAACCGAUGUAAGCUUUGGAAACUGUGGAUCUGGAGUGCAGGAGAGGACAGUGGAAUUCCAUGUGUAGCGGUAAAAUGCGUAGAUAUAUGGAGGAACACCAGUGGCGAAGGCGGCUGUCUGGCCUGUAACUGACGCUGAGGCACGAAAGCGUGGGGAUCGAACAGG